This 467-nucleotide ribosomal RNA is filed under the name uncultured bacterium. RNAcentral describes it as "bacterial SSU rRNA". It matches the Rfam family "Bacterial small subunit ribosomal RNA", at positions 329 to 794 of the family's 1533-position model. The record is from RNAcentral.
UGCCAGACUCCUACGGGAGGCAGCAGUGAGGAAUAUUGGUCAAUGGUCGGGAGACUGAACCAGCCAAGCCGCGUGAGGGAGGAAGGUACAGAGUAUCGUAAACCUCUUUUGUCAGGGAACAAAGACUGGGACGCGUCCCCGGAUGAGUGUACCUGAAGAAAAAGCAUCGGCUAACUCCGUGCCAGCAGCCGCGGUAAUACGGAGGAUGCGAGCGUUAUCCGGAUUUAUUGGGUUUAAAGGGUGCGCAGGCGGAGGUGCAAGUCAGCGGUCAAAUUGCGGGGCUCAACCCCGUACUGCCGUUGAAACUGGCAGACUUGAGUUGGCGAGAAGUACGCGGAAUGCGCGGUGUAGCGGUGAAAUGCAUAGAUAUCGCGCAGAACUCCGAUUGCGAAGGCAGCGUACCGGCGCCAGACUGACGCUGAGGCACGAAAGCGUGGGGAUCGAACAGGAUUAGAUACCCUUGUAGU